RNAcentral lists this ribosomal RNA (761 nucleotides) under Shigella sonnei. Its description in RNAcentral is "partial 23S ribosomal RNA". It matches the Rfam family "Bacterial large subunit ribosomal RNA", at positions 157 to 958 of the family's 2925-position model. Lineage: Bacteria; Pseudomonadati; Pseudomonadota; Gammaproteobacteria; Enterobacterales; Enterobacteriaceae. The record is from RNAcentral.
ACUGAAUCCAUAGGUUAAUGAGGCGAACCGGGGGAACUGAAACAUCUAAGUACCCCGAGGAAAAGAAAUCAACCGAGAUUCCCCCAGUAGCGGCGAGCGAACGGGGAGGAGCCCAGAGCCUGAAUCAGUGUGUGUGUUAGUGGAAGCGUCUGGAAAGGCGCGCGAUACAGGGUGACAGCCCCGUACACAAAAAUACACAUAUUGUGAGCUCGACGAGUAGGGCGGGACACGUGGUAUCCUGUCUGAAUAUGGGGGGACCAUCCUCCAAGGCUAAAUACUCCUGACUGACCGAUAGUGAACCAGUACCGUGAGGGAAAGGCGAAAAGAACCCCGGCGAGGGGAGUGAAAAAGAACCUGAAACCGUGUACGUACAAGCAGUGGGAGCACGCUUAGGCGUGUGACUGCGUACCUUUUGUAUAAUGGGUCAGCGACUUAUAUUCUGUAGCAAGGUUAACCGAAUAGGGGAGCCGAAGGGAAACCGAGUCUUAACUGGGCGUUAAGUUGCAGGGUAUAGACCCGAAACCCGGUGAUCUAGCCAUGGGCAGGUUGAAGGUUGGGUAACACUAACUGGAGGACCGAACCGACUAAUGUUGAAAAAUUAGCGGAUGACUUGUGGCUGGGGGUGAAAGGCCAAUCAAACCGGGAGAUAGCUGGUUCUCCCCGAAAGCUAUUUAGGUAGCGCCUCGUGAAUUCAUCUCCGGGGGUAGAGCACUGUUUCGGCAAGGGGGUCAUCCCGACUUACCAACCCGAUGCAAACUGCG